UGCCGGUCUCUAACGCGGCUUCGAGGUCGGCGCGGUCCUUCGGCGUCAUGGCGGACACCGGCAGAUCGGUGUCGGGCAGGCUGACGCCCUUGCGGUCGGACAUUUUUCCGCCGGUCACCACGCGCACGAGGGCGUGGUCGGGCGAGGUCUCCUCGGCGAUCAGGCGAAGCUUGCCGUCGUCGAUCAGCAGCGCGUGGCCGGGCCGCAAUGCUUUCAGAAUUUCAGGAU
Molecule: unclassified non-coding RNA, 228 nt
Filed under: Hevea brasiliensis (rubber tree)
Lineage: Eukaryota; Viridiplantae; Streptophyta; Magnoliopsida; Malpighiales; Euphorbiaceae
Source: RNAcentral